RNAcentral lists this long non-coding RNA (1183 nucleotides) under Heterocephalus glaber (naked mole-rat). RNAcentral describes it as "lncRNA (ENSHGLG00100047018.1)". Lineage: Eukaryota; Metazoa; Chordata; Mammalia; Rodentia; Bathyergidae. The record is from RNAcentral.
GUUUUUCUCACUAAUUUGAAUUUACUCUUUUUAAGCUGCAGUGGUGCAAAUGGAGAAGGAUUUGGGAGCUUUCAUCAGCAGAUCAUGUAUUCUUAAUGCACAUAUCGGAAACAGUCUUCUGAGUGAACCCCACCCCAGGCCAGUUCUUCCUCAUCUCACUUCUGAGUGGAUAAUGCAGGCUGACCUUCAGGAACUGGUUCUAAUCUGGCUCAUCAGUUCUCAAGAGACUUCAUUUCCACAGUCCUUGGGUUGGUAACUCCCUGGCACACCAGUCUGUACACAACAGAAAUCAAGAUGUGGCAAACUGCAGGGACCUCUCUAGGAGAAGCAAUACCACCUUCACCCCUGCUCCCUGCUGAGUUCCAGCUGAGGACAGUGGCAUUCAGGAGGACACUUGAGAUACAUCAGCCUGGCCUCUGUUUCAGGAAGCUUGAACACGUACCUGGGUCACUCAGAAUAACCAGAGAGCUGUGUCCAAGACCAUGCCUGGAAGGAUAGUUUUCAAACAGAAUUCAUUGUGUUGUAAUCUCUAUUCAGGCUAUUUUCAUGGUGAGAGGAAUCACCUCAGGAAAUUUUCACAAGUUUGGCUGUAAGGACAUGCAAAAGUAACUGCAGGAUAUGUACAAGUCUGCUUAUCACAAGAUUUCUCUCCCUCCCUCCAUCCCCCAUCUAUCUUUCUCUUUCAUAAUAGCCCCCCGAGAGAUGUCUUUAUAGAAUCUUAGUAUCAAGAUAGGAUGCCAUUUUCUCGAGUUACUGACUUAUUUUUAUUUCAUGGAUAUUUCAAAUUAUAUUUUCUAUUUUGUGUUGCUUGAUAAAGCUUACAUCAAAAUUUGUGAUUAGUCCACAAUAACUUUUACUAAAAUGUCAAUUCAUCCAAUCCAGGAUGACUCCAUCUUUGUUCUGUGCAAAGAAGUUACUCAUUAUAAAGUGGGUUGUUGUUGUUGGUGGUGGUGGGGUGUGUGUGUGUGUGUGUGUGUGUGAAGAACUAAUUUCUUACCUCCUCUGGGACAUUGGAGCCUCACCAAAGAGUUCAUGCAGUCAGGCUAAAUAUGCACAUUGUUUUCCAAUCACAAACCCUCCUUUUCCACUCUUUUAUUUGAUUCCAUACAACAUUCUUCAGGGUAGUUUAUGCCACCUUCUCAGGACCCCACAAAACUGACCAUUUCAGCCAUUUAAAAUUUCC